GACGAACGCUGGCGGCGUGCCUAAUACAUGCAAGUAGAACGCUGAAGGAAGGAGCUUGCUCUUUCUGGAUGAGUUGCGAACGGGUGAGUAACGCGUAGGUAACCUGCCUGGUAGCGGGGGAUAACUAUUGGAAACGAUAGCUAAUACCGCAUAAAAUUGAUUAUUGCAUGAUAGUCAAUUAAAAGGUGCAACUGCACCACUACCAGAUGGACCUGCGUUGUAUUAGCUAGUUGGUGGGGUAACGGCUCACCAAGGCGACGAUACAUAGCCGACCUGAGAGGGUGAUCGGCCACACUGGGACUGAGACACGGCCCAGACUCCUACGGGAGGCAGCAGUAGGGAAUCUUCGGCAAUGGACGGAAGUCUGACCGAGCAACGCCGCGUGAGUGAAGAAGGUUGUCGGAUCGUAAAGCUCGGUUGUAAGAGAAGAACGAGUGUGAGAGUGGAAAGUUCACACUGUGACGGUAUCUUACCAGAAAGGGACGGCUAACUACGUG
Molecule: ribosomal RNA, 497 nt
Filed under: uncultured bacterium
Lineage: Bacteria
Description: partial 16S ribosomal RNA
Rfam family: Bacterial small subunit ribosomal RNA
Source: RNAcentral